GCUGGUGUGGUUCAGUUGGUAGAGCAGUUGAUUCGUAAUCAACAGGUCACCGGUUCAAGUCCGGUCACCAGCUCCA
Molecule: transfer RNA, 76 nt
Filed under: Clostridia bacterium
Lineage: Bacteria; Bacillati; Bacillota; Clostridia
Description: tRNA-Thr
Rfam family: tRNA
About the family: Transfer RNA (tRNA) molecules are approximately 80 nucleotides in length.
Source: RNAcentral